This 7129-nucleotide long non-coding RNA is filed under the name Vigna radiata. RNAcentral describes it as "long non-coding RNA (VRAD_LNC007657)". The record is from RNAcentral. Lineage: Eukaryota; Viridiplantae; Streptophyta; Magnoliopsida; Fabales; Fabaceae.
AAGACCCCCAGGUGAGGAUGAACGGGGCUACCCUUAUCAGUGGAACUUUCGCCAACGGUGCUACUGACAACGUUACGAUUCUUGCUGAUAUAUCUGUGAAGAAUCCAAACGCUUUUACCUUCAGAUUUGAAAACGCCUGGACCGAUGUUUACUAUAACGGAGAGGAAAUAGGUGAUGGUGAAUCUCCACCGGGGAAAGCCAAGCCCAGAAGAACCAUAAGGGUCAACACCACCAUGGAGAUUAUGGCAAAGAAGCUUCUGGCGAUUCCAAAUUUGGAUACUGACCUAAAGGAUCAGGCUUUGAAUAUCAGCAGCUAUACCAGGAUUGAUGGUAAGGUCAAAAUACUAAACAUUUUUCCGAGGAAAGUUGUGGUUGAGAUGAAUUGCACAAUCACAUACAACAUCACCACUGGGUCGAUUAAAAAUGGUGACAAUUGUCUUGGAAACGUUGAUAUUUAGGUUGGUUUUGAUGUUAAUUCUUUGUGAAAUUUGUUAGGAUGAUGAUAGAAGUGGAAAAUAGCUAGUGUUUGUAGGUUGCUCAAUUUUCUGCAGUUUAAUUGUAUCUGAUUAUGGAUAUAUGAUUUGAGUUAAUCCUAUNUAAACCCUAGACCACUUACACGCACUGAUUCUUGAGUAAUUUUUUGGAAAAAAAAACUUGUCACCUUUAAAAAUAUACUAAUUUUUUAGACGAAAUAGAAAAAAAGAUUAAUAUAUAUAUAUAUAUAUAUAUAUAUAUAUAUAUAUAUAUAUAUAAAUAUAAGAUAACUGUGAUUUCAAGUUUAUAUUUUGAUGGAAAUAUCACAUUUGUUCCUUUUUUAUCUAUUUGUAAGAUUUUUUUGGUACAUUCUAUUGUAAGUUUAGAACAUGUAUGUGAUAACUAGUGUAAAAUUAAUGGUUACCCUCCUAGGUAUAAAGGGAAAACAAUUGACAAUUAUCAUAAAAAAUAAGUUAAAGAAUGCAUAUAAAAAGUAAAUAUUUUAAAUAUGUUUUAAUUUUAUUUAUUGCAUUUAUUUUAAAUGUAAUUUUCUUUUAUAAUUUUAAAUUAAAAAUGACUUUUUCGUUUUAAUGGUAUUUCAAUUUUGUUUAUUUUAAAUUCUUUAUAACUGACGAACAUAUUUUAUUAAUAAGCACAACACUAAAUUGGGCGAGUAGCAUAAAUUUUCUUAAAUCAAUAAAUGCAUAUAUUUUUAUAAUUUAAUACGGAAAUGAUAUUAAAGCUUAUAUUGGCUUAACGAAUGAGAGUGAAAUUAUCUUAAAAAUUUAACGAUUGUACAUAAAAAGUUAAAGUGCAGAAAAAAAAAAAAAUCUGUUAGAAAUAAAAAUAUAUCAGAAACAUAAUAAAUUUAUGUUCGCUGAUAGUUCGGUACAUGAUUUCCAGUUUUACUUAUUGAUGCUUAUAUGAUUUCCAGUUUUACUUUCUGAUUCUUACAGACAAUUGCUGGGGCCAUUGUGAUUGGUAUUAUACUUCAUGCCGGAGAUCACCUUGCUUGUGAUUUUCCAAGACUUGUAAGUACGUCUGAAGACAAUUAUGAGAAGUAUUUGAAAGGUGUAUUUGGUGAUAAUAAACCCAGUUACGGAGACCUGGCUAAAGGCGUCGAGGGUGUGACUGGAAUUUUGAUGGUGAUUCUUAUGAUAAUAGCAUUUACACUUGCAACCAAAUGGUUCCGGAGAAAUCUCAUUAAGCUGCCUAAACCAUUUAGUAGGCUCACUGGCUUCAAUGCCUUCUGGUAUUCACAUCAUCUGUUUGUCAUCGUAUACGUCCUUCUUAUAAUCCACGGAACAAAACUUUACCUCGUGCAUAAAUGGUACCUUAAAACGGUAUACAUAUUUCAAUUAUUUAGGAUAUCUUUCAAAUGCUUUGUUUACCUGUAAUUAGUGACUUACGUUCUGGUUUCCGUUUGCAGACAUGGAUGUAUCUUGCGGUUCCAGUUUUACUUUAUACGUCCGAAAGAAUACUCAGACUAUUUCGUUCUGGCCUGUAUACAGUUCGUCUUGGAAAGGUUAGCUGAUUAAGUGGACCAAUAGUUAGGCUCUAAAUUUUCGACUUCAUAACAAACAUGGUUUUAUUACUUGUCUCAACUACUAUUAAGUGCAAUUGGCCUGGGCUAAUUGUGAGCAUCCAGACUCUAGAGUCAUAAAAAGUAAACUAAAAACUGCCAGGAACUUCCAUAUCUAAAAAACUACUCUAACUCUAUAACUUCAUAUAAAUUAGUGCCAAAUAUAAAUUGAACAGCAUGCUAACUUCGUUUUCUCCCUUUUUCUUUUUCUUUUUUAAAAAAUGGAAAAUAUUCAGGUUGCCAUAUAUCCUGGAAAUGUUCUCACAUUGCAAAUGUCUAAGCCUCCUCAAUUUCGUUACAAGAGCGGACAAUACAUGUUUGUGCAGUGUCCUGCUGUUUCUCCGUUUGAAUGGUGAGUUGCAUUUCAAUUUUAAACAAAAAUAUGUUUCAUGUAGCGGUUUUACGAUUUACAUUAUGCUUCAUAAUUGAGACACUGUGUACUGUUUUGAACAAAGAAAUAUGGAAAACGAUACGAAGUUUGGAAAAUGAACUUUCCUCUGCAUUUUUACUAUUCAUAAAACAGAGAUCGAACCGGUAGUACUUUUGCCCCUGAUGAUCAGACAUAUUGAAUAAGAAAAGAAGGGAAAGUAAACUGAUAUUGCAGUUUAUGAGCUGUUAGAAGUCUCGAUUUUGUUUCAGAGUGAAACUUGUGAAAUUUUUACUCAACAAGUAUCGGUAUCUAACAGUAACAUGGGACAAUAUUUUGUGUCAGGCAUCCGUUCUCUAUUACCUCAGCCCCUGGCGACGACUACCUGAGUGUUCAUAUUCGGCAACUGGGUGAUUGGACACAGGAGCUUAAAAGGGUGUUCUCUGAGGCCUGUGAGCCUCCUGUAUCUGGGAAGAGUGGGCUUCUCAGGGCUGAUGAAACCACGAAGAAAAGGUAUAUGUGGCACUUGCCAUUUUCUGUUGUUGCUUUCUUAUCUUUGGUCCUGGGAAAGUAGGGGAAAAUAAUUUAUACAUGAUUCCAAGCCAAAACUUGUUAACCAUUGAUGCAGUUUGCCGAAGUUAAAGAUCGAUGGACCUUACGGUGCACCGGCACAAGAUUAUAAAAAAUAUGAUGUUUUGUUACUAGUCGGUCUCGGGAUAGGAGCAACACCUUUCAUCAGCAUUCUAAAAGAUCUUCUCAACAACAUCAUCAAAAUGGAGGAAAUGGCGGUGAGUUCCAGCGGUUCAUUGUAUUAGUUAAUGAACAUUAAGACAGUAAAGUAGUUAAUAUUCAUGUUAUUCAUAGCUUAACUCUGGCGUGUUAUGUGUCGCAUACAAAUUGUCAUGCUCAUGAAUAUUAUUUGAACAUCUGUAUGCAAAUUUAGUACCACGAAAUAUAACUAUCUGGGUUACUUUUAUUCAGGAUUCAAUCUCUGAUAUAAGUAGAGGUUCAGACCUUAGUGUUGGGAGUACUACAGACUCACCAUCUCUUAAUAAAAUUGCGCCAAAACGGAAGAAAACACUUAAGACCACCAACGCUUAUUUUUACUGGGUUACAAGAGAGCAAGGUUCUUUUGAUUGGUUCAAAGGAGUCAUGAAUGAAGUAGCAGAGCUUGAUCAAAGGGUAUUUAGUUUCUGCAGAAAAUUUAUUUCUUAUUAUACUUCCUCCCGAAGAACUUUUAGUAUUCCUUGUCCCUGCCACAAAGAUGAAUAAUGUUUUUUUCGCAAUGGCUAAUGUUGAACAUCAAAUUUGGACUUCAGGGUGUCAUUGAGAUGCACAACUACUUGACCAGCGUAUACGAGGAAGGGGAUGCUAGAUCUGCCCUCAUCACCAUGGUACAAGCACUCAACCAUGCCAAAAACGGAGUUGACAUUGUUUCUGGGACCAGAGUAAGCCUUCGCGUUUCAUUGUUUUUAUGUAUUAUUCGCUAUGUUUAGCAUUUAGCCCCUUUUUAAUGCCAUAAUCGGAGUGAGUAAAUUUAAAACCUCGCUUACUUCUUUGAAUUCCUACUACCAGGUGCGAACUCAUUUUGCUAGGCCCAACUGGAAGAAGGUUUUCAAUAAAAUGUGCUCCAAGCACUAUAAUGGAAGAAUAGGUUAGUUAGUCUCAAUCAAGCGUAUUUUGGUAGUCGGUAGACUUUUUUUUAACCCCCUUUUUUCAAUGUCAUCAUUUGAACACGUCAAGUAAGUCUUAGAUAUUACAAAAUUUUAUUUAUAUGUCUCACUUUUUUAUCUUUUUUUUUUAUACACUUAUCUCAAAAUUAUUCUUUCAUUCUUCCUUUUAUUUUCUCCCUUUACUGACAUUAUGGCUAUCAUGAUUCGGAUCAGGGGUAUUUUAUUGUGGUGCACCAGUUUUGGCCAAAGAACUGAGCAAGCUCUGCUUCGAGUUCAAUGAAAAGGGUCCAACAAAAUUUGAGUUCCACAAGGAGCACUUUUAAAGAAUUUGGGCUGAGCACUCCCAAAUGUACUAAAAGUUAACAGGGUCAUCUCAACUUAAACCCGUCAUUUUAGUAACUUGGCGUGGUCAUAUUAUAUGAUUAAUAUUCAACAAGUAAAACCUUUUUGUAUAGAUGUGAAGCAUUGUACAUAGAGCCAGCAAGAUUGCUUGGCAUUUCAGUAUACAUGUGGCCUCAUAACUAAAGAGAUAAGCGCAGUGGUACUGUCCACCACCUAGAGUGCGAUACAACUACAUUGGAGAUGCUGACCUGAUCGUGGGAGCCACAUCAACUGUUGGCAGAUAGAUCCACAGUGAAUUGGAUAUGGACAUUUUUGAAAAAGAUAAUAGAAGGUAAAGGGACUAAAGAAUGUGGCUGGGAUACCUUUUCAAGAGCAACUUUCUCAUUUUUCCUUCCAGGGGAUUCCAGGAAUUCUUGAGAACUCAGAGUGAGGCAAAUGAAUCACCUCUACUUCUGCUUGGGUUCUAACGGGGAGAAGGGGAUUAUACAUAUCUAUGUAAAUGAAACCGGUAUAGUGUUUUCCUUUUUCAAAGUGAUCAAUAGUUUUAACCUUUAUUUAUUUAUUUGAUUAUAUACAUGAAGUAAAACUAUUGGUUUGUGAACACGACUUAAACUAUUGAGCCACGAUGAUAUUUUCUGGUGCUCAUUUAGUCAAUGCAUAUUAAAAUUAUCUGCGCAGAGUUUACGAACCAGAUCAGGAGUAUAUUAAUAUCAAAUUCUUCAGUAAGGUUCCAUUUGGGUCAUGUUUUCGGCAAAGACUUUGAAUAUGAUUUAAACACGUCCUCAAUAAAUGCUACUCGAAUCCUCGUUUGGAUGCAAAGGAUGUGCGUGAAAUAAACUCAAGAUGCUUAAUCUCUUCUGCAUAAUGGAGAAGGGGUUUGUUCAAUGUCAGCUGUAAUGAAAUUGUAAAUACACAACUGUAUGCGCCAUUUGAAAUAUACAAAAUUUUACAUUACAAAUUACUAUUUUUUCUCUUGGUUGUUGAUUUUCUGACCUGCAUGUCAGAAUUUAUGAAAAUAAGAAAAAAAAUAUUAAACACGUUACUAAAGUUCUUUGUGAUAUUAUUAAUCUUAUUAUAUAUUGUGGAGCAAUUUAGAGCAGAUGGCUCGGCGCAUAGAGAGGAUCUAGAGUAUGAAUACAUUUUUAUUUAGAUCAAACAUCCGUAUGAUACACUAAAUGCACAACUGAUAAAAGUACGUCUUGUGUAAAAUGCAAGCCCAAAGGGCUCAAAGGGUUGAGUUCCACCGUUUUUGUGAAAUGGAAGAAGGAUUUAUGAUAUCUCUUUGACCGAUUCACCGUGUAAGGGAAACGAUAUGGAUAAAAUGGUGGGGACUAUCAACAUUAGAAUCAUGUGGGAUAAGUUUGAUGACUUGAAUAUUAAUUAACUUCCCCAUCAAAGAGUUAAAAUUAUUUUCCAAAAGAAAAGCUGGGUCUUCAUGACCAAAUCAAAACAUAUUUAAUUGCCACAUUUCUCAACGGCGAAAAUCGAAAAGGUAGUGGAAUGAAACUGGCCUAAUUUUUUAGUUUGUUACAACGCAUUUGCUGAUCCAAUACUCUGCACUGCUGCAUUUCAUAUUCCUUCAGGCCGGAUGUGUCUUUUCCCUCACUCCUAUUUCUAGAAUCCUUCAAAGUCACUACUCUUGAAUCAUCAUCUCAAUUUUUUAGUCCAUAAAUCAAGUACAUUUAUCAUUCUUUGCCUUUAAUUUAAGUAACUUCCCAUUUAGUCAUCGGUCAAGCCGUGCAAAUACUGGAAACGCGUUCAGGAAAACAUCAACCCAUAAUUCCUUAAUUCUCAAUACCUCAAGGUCAAGACAAAUAACCUUUUUUUCUUCUUUUUACCGUUUCUGAUCAAUACAAGAUUUUCAACCAAAAACUUCAAAUUAAUUGCACAAAAAUACUAAUAUUUAUUCAUGUGGUCACUCUCUUAUCAUAUGUGUGGAGAUCGAAAACCACCAACAUCUCAUCAUAUAUAUAUAUGUAUACCUGAACAACAAGAUUUUAUUAGUAUUCAAGACAAAACAAAAAAUGUUAUAUUUAAUAACUAAAUUUAUCAUGUCAAUUACAUCGCAGGUGCAGGAGACAGAGUUGUCGCUAUCAACGUGGAAUCAACCAUUUGAAGACAUUUCAUAUUGGAAAUUGAUCUAAGUACCCACCACCCAUUUGCUAGUAAGCCAUAAUGUAUAGUUUCAAGAAGACCAUCUCAUACUAAGUUAAAUUCCCAGUACCAUCACAAAUCAGCAUGGCUCAGCAGAGUCCUGAUCAGCAGAUCAAGCCCUUGGCUCCAUUCAUAUCAUCAUCCCACUUCAACUCACAAGAAGAUCAAGACUACGCAUCCACACACAGAAAAAACAUUCGAAUAAGAAAGUUUAUCCAGUGCUGCGGUUGUGCCACUGCAAUUGCUGUGCUACUUGUGGUCAUAGUACUGGUCUUGGGCUUCACCGUUUACAAUGUCAAAGACCCCCAGGUGAGGAUGAACGGGGCUACCCUUAUCAGUGGAACUUUCGCCAACGGUGCUACUGACAACGUUACGAUUCUUGCUGAUAUAUCUGUGAAGAAUCCAAACGCUUUUACCUUCAGAUUUGAAAACGCCUGGACCGAUGUUUACUAUAACGGAGAGGAAAUAGGUGAUGGUGAAUCUCCACCGGGGAAAGCCAAGCCCAGAAGAACCAUAAGGGUCAACACCACCAUGGAG